Molecule: ribosomal RNA, 470 nt
Filed under: uncultured bacterium
Lineage: Bacteria
Description: bacterial SSU rRNA
Rfam family: Bacterial small subunit ribosomal RNA
Source: RNAcentral
UUCCAGACUCCUACGGGAGGCAGCAGUGGGGAAUUUUGGACAAUGGGCGCAAGCCUGAUCCAGCUAUUCCGCGUGUGGGAUGACGGCCCUCGGGUUGUAAACCACUUUAGUAGAGAACGAAAAGGAGCUAUCGAAUAAAUAGCUCUGCUGGCGGUACUCUAAGAAUAAGCACCGGCUAACUACGUGCCAGCAGCCGCGGUAAUACGUAGGGUGCGAGCGUUAUCCGGAUUUAUUGGGUUUAAAGGGUGCGUAGGCGGAUUUGUAAGUCAGCGGUAAAAAUGCGGUGCUCAACGCCGUAUCGCCGUUGAAACUGCAGGUCUUGAGUGAGCGAGAAGUAUGCGGAAUGCGUGGUGUAGCGGUGAAAUGCAUAGAUAUCGCGCAGAACUCCGAUUGCGAAGGCAGCGUACCGGCGCCGGACUGACGCUGAGGCACGAAAGCGUGGGUAUCGAACAGGAUUAGAUACCCGCGUA